Molecule: long non-coding RNA, 3144 nt
Organism: Dreissena polymorpha
Lineage: Eukaryota; Metazoa; Mollusca; Bivalvia; Myida; Dreissenidae
Exons: 3
Source: RefSeq, a predicted model, not a curated record
CGCGGGUAAAAUCCUCGAUUUCAUCGGGCAUCCUGCUAUAAAUUCAGACGCUGGAGAAAGAAAGGGAAAGGAGGUGUACAGCCACCGAUACUUCUGCUUCGACGAGAGGUCUAAGUUAUUCAACAGCCAACGUCAACGCGUUUUCAAACCAAAGGACAAAGAUGCUGUACGUGCUGAUUCUAGCGAUUGCCCUCACAUCAUGCGUCAUGUGUGAGAGAAAUGCUUUGGGCUUGGAUGCCAGAACGAACGAGGACAUCGGACAACUAGAUCACUCUCGCCGUUUGGUUGGGACUAUUAUCACGGCUAUCAGUGGUGGUUUAUCUGUCGGCGCACACUUCGGUUGGUGGAAAAGAGGAAGCGCUGAUGGGAGGAUGGAGCGUUUCAAAGUGAUGAUUCAAGCGAAUCCGUGCGCUUUCAACAUUUACGAUGCAAACGGAGAUGGCGCGAUAACAUGGGAAGAGUUCGAAGCGAUUUUUGGAGAAGGCAAAACAACACACAAUUUGGCCGAGGCACUUGACGAAUCCGGUGAGUUAAUCUGGUAUAUAUUUCAACCUCAUAAGUCUUGCUCUAUGAAAAGGGGGUUUAAUGCAUUUGCGUAACGUUACGUCUCAGAUUAGCCUGUCCAGUAAGCACAGACUAACAAGGGUCGAAAUUUCCGCUUGCAUAUACAUAUAGUAUUUUUCGUUUAAAGGAAGACUCUUCUUUGCAAUAAUCCUGUUAAGGCGGAAAGUGUCGUCUCUGAUUGCCAUGUGCGUACGCACAUGCAAUAAACCCCCUUUUCACAGAGCGAGGCUAAUGUACACAAACUCAAACUCUCGUACACAAUUUAACACAUGUUACACAGAUCGGUCGCAUAGAAAUAUUCCACUUAUAAUAAUGCGCCUACUAGCGGAGCAUAUGUCCACUAUUUGAGCUGUACUUUUAUUAUGAUAUACCUUAAUAUAUCAUGUACAUGUAUUGUAUAAAGCGAUAUAUAUUUCCUUUAACUGGUCAGUGUGAAGAUCGACAAACGAUUUUUACAAAGCCGCAGCCCAUAUACUAUAUUAAAACAUCGAAGAUUGGCAAUUUUAACUUUAGUAUUGUUUAUUUGUUUUUAAUAUGUUCUUUUAAUGCUCGAAAUUCAGCUCUUUAAUUUUUGUUACACAAUUGUUGGGACAUAUUCGAGCAAUAUAUUUUUAUGGUGAACAUGUAUCUUUUAAUAUCUCAGCGUUUAAAAUUAGGACGUCAUCAGGUCGCCGUCCGGCGUCAACAAAGUGCGAGUUUGUAUUACGUCAUGGACGACUAGUUAAUUUAUUUAGUUAUUAAUUGAAUUUCUUACUAUUUAAGUUUAAUUCAAGAUGUUUGAUUUAACAAAAUAUAAGAAAUUCUAUGUAUAUGGCUUAAAUUAAGUAUACAUAACCAUAUGUUUUUAUAUACAUAACCAUUACUGCUGCUUAGUACUGAAAAUGUAUGAAGAUGAUCUUAACAUUUAAUAAUGUUUCGACUCUAAAGCGUUUUUAUCAAAGGCGAUAUGUGGGUGGUACUUUUGUAAGUUUAAUUUGAUCGUGCCUCAAUCAGUUAUUGCCUGUUGCUCUGGUUUGACCAUUAUGUAGUUUAAUUUGCCGUGAAUUGCCCGGUUCAGAGCGGUGGCCCCAGAUGUUUUCAUGACUGUUUGGUUGAUAUGCAUUUGUGUUUCACGUUUAUUAAAUGUGUCGUAUGUCAUACCGUUGGGCUUUUGGUGUUUUGCAAUUAAUAUUUGGCCAGAUGCUAUUACAAUAUUCAUCUUCUGCUGAUGCAGCUGAAGUUUCAAUUUAAAUAUGGGCCGCGCUCUGUGAAAAAUGGGUUUAAUGCGUGUGCAAAUAGUGUCGUUCCAGAUUAGCUUGUGCAGUCCCCACAGGCUUAUCAGGGGCGACAUUUCCGCCUCCAUUGUAUUUAUCGUUUAACGAAACACUAAUCUUGACGAAAAUCCAGUUUAGGCGGAAAGUGACUUCCCUGAUAAGCAUGUGAGGACUGCACAGGUAAUCUGUGACGCAACUUUACGCACAUGCAUUAAAUAUACCAAUAUAUUUGGUACAAUUACUUCAAUGCUGAUUUACUCAAACGUCUGCACUAUUGAAGGCAUGCGUAAAAGGAGCUCACUCUUCACCAUCUUCUAUAGCAUUUAUAUGCCUACAUAAAGGCGUUUUAGUUUGAUUUUUAAGAUACCCAUUUGAAACUUUUUCCAAAAAAUUAACAUAAUGUUGGGACUGUGGGCGAUUUUAAAUUUGUUUAAACAUAUUUAUUUAAGCUCGAUUGCAUUGAAAGUACUCACUACCUAAUUGAAACGCAUUCUCGUCCGUUUCCUGGGACUAGAACCAGUACUUGGGUGUUUUCGGGGUAGAUCUAAAGAACACUCCCACAAUGGGGAUCGAACCCGUGACCUCCCGGUCGCUACGCGGAGACCAUAUACAUUACACCGCGACGACAUUGACUUUUAAUGAUACACGUAUCUCCGGAAUACGCCACGCAUUUUUGCUUGGUUAUCACAUGAUGCCUCUUUUGCAGGUUCUGGUACGGUGAGCGAAGAGGAAUUCAAGAAGGGCAUGCAUAAAUUUGUUGAAGGAUGUUAAACUCGCGAUUAUCUAUGCGUCCGGAAUCGUGGGAAGAUGCUGUUAUACAAUUAUUUCUUACAGAAUUGUUAAUGAUAACUGAAUGCCUUAUUAUGUCGAAUGUUUACUUGACAGUUUAACAGUUGUUGCUAGCAGUAGGCUUUGGUUCAAGUAUGUAUCCUUAAUUCAUUUCAAACUAUACUUUGUAUGCACACUUAAAUGCCUUUCAAAUGAAUAAUGUAUAGUCUCACAUUAGCCACUUAAUCAUUUGUGCUUAUUAAACAGAAAUGCGCUUUCGUUACACAUUCUUACGUUUAUCGGUGUUUUGCAGUCUUAUUAUUGUAUAUCAAUCCUAAUGCACAUAAAUUAACUUUAAGAUUCUCAUCCCGGAUUCGACAAAAUCCGGGUAGCGGGUAAAUUUAUACUUUUUGUAUGUGUUAUACCAUCUUAACAAUUGAUGAUGGUCGAUACCAUAUUGUGUUAUUUUAACUGAUUAAUAAUUAAUUAAUGCAUUAACUUGCAAGUGUUACUUUGUUACUAUAUAUUUGCUUUGAUUGAAUAAAUAUUUAGCAUUAAA